Long non-coding RNA from Chiloscyllium plagiosum (whitespotted bambooshark), 865 nucleotides. RefSeq lists it as uncharacterized. NCBI's taxonomy places the organism in Eukaryota, Metazoa, Chordata, Chondrichthyes, Orectolobiformes, Hemiscylliidae. The record is from RefSeq and is a predicted model, not a curated record.
GUCUGACCUGCUGUGCUUUUCCAGCAACACAUUUUCAGCUCUGACCUCCACCAUCUGCAGUUCUCACUUUCUCCACGUGGUUCAAUAUUCAGGCGACUGUCCGUAAUCUCUCGCGAUAAGAUACGCCGCGGAGCGUGUUUCAACUCGCCGUAAAUCAGUUCAAAACCAGUCCGUCAUUAAUGGCAAAUGGAAAACUGAACAAGUGACAUUGGGCAGAAGAAAUGGGAAUUUGAAUGAACUGCCAUCAAAUAAGAUUGGGGGAAGAGAACAACUUGCAUCAAAAGAAAAGCUGAACCAUGAAGAAAGUGCUUAAAUAAUACACCUGGAGGAACAUGAAUGAUAUGUGCAGAGGUAUGCCAGCAACCUGUACAUGUCAUUGUAGUGGUUGUGGAUUGUGAUCAUGAAGGGGGAAGCUACAAGUCACUUGUGAAAUAAGCAUUUUCAGUAGAAAGCUUGUUAUCCAAACAGCAUUAAUCAUGUUGUAGCCAAUUUGUUUUGACAAAAUGUUAUAUCAGAAUGACAAUCUGACUAAUAUUUAAUUUCUCAUGAUAAAAUGAACUUUGAGGGGGUUGAGGGAAAUGGAUUGUAAAAUUGACUUGCAGAAACAGGUAAUCAAAGAUUUGAGACUUUGUACAUGUUCUUAGUUUACCUGCUUAAACUGAGUAUGAUCUUCAGAACAGGUAGGACUUGCCUCAGCCAGAGGGCCUGGAUUCAAGUUAACUGCCAUGGCACCACAAGUUCCUUGAGACUUUGUAUUCUUGAACAUUACUGAGAUUUAUUUAGCAUUGUGCUUGUAGAUAGCUUCAUAAGUCUGUUACAUAAUUAUUGAUUCGAUGCACCAAUAAACAUAUAAUGCCAAAGUUAA